AUGAAUCUUCGAACUUUAAGAUUUAUGAUUCAAGUGGAAGAAACAAUAACUAUCGGAGUCUCUAACGCAAUUCCAAAAAGAGGAGCGGUUUGGUCUAUGCAGAGAUUAAGAUGGCGAGAGGGAAGCUUGAGUGGAGUUUGUGAGCAUUGCAGAUAUGAUUCUGGUUGUUGUUUUGACAGAGAGAGAUUGUUUGAACAGGAUUUCGACAACAUGCUUGGACUAUUUUGUGCAAAGUUUUGGACAGUGAAGAAGGAAAGGCAAGGUUGA
Molecule: non-coding RNA, 267 nt
Organism: Vicia faba (fava bean)
Lineage: Eukaryota; Viridiplantae; Streptophyta; Magnoliopsida; Fabales; Fabaceae
Source: the annotation of a GenBank genome assembly